Amphiprion ocellaris (clown anemonefish) is the source of this 2741-nucleotide long non-coding RNA. NCBI's taxonomy places the organism in Eukaryota, Metazoa, Chordata, Actinopteri, Pomacentridae. The record is from Ensembl.
AUUCUCAGAGGGCGGAGCCAGAGAGCAGCGAUUGGUCAGACCAUAGAUACAUAGAGAAGACAGCGCGCUAGCAUGUCUAGUCUUCUAUGUAUGGUAGCAUCUCUGGCUGCUGUUGACCUUGUUUGUGGAGUAAAGCAUGGUGGAAGCUGAAUUAGUGAGGAUGACUCCUGCUCCUGUCAUCUCUAAGCUCCUCCCACAUCUUUACCUGCACAUGAGGAAAAUCACUCCUGUAGAAUGCAGAUGUUCAGAGGGAGAUGAUGCCACAUCUGGUCCAGCUGAUGGAAGGUCUUGAAGUUCUCUGACUGGCCUGGACUGAAGAUGGUCGUCUCACUGGAUUUAAGGUUCAGAUGCUCAGUAACAAACUCCACCAAUGUGCCAACAGGGAAGCUUUAGGUUUAUUAAAUGUUGCUAUGAAGGUAUCACUGUUUUUCUUUGUGAAUGCAAUGUGCUCCAACUGAAACUUGAAUUAGAACUUAGAAGUAAAUCAUUUCAUCUGAAAGGAUUUAGUUGCAUUAAUAACCUCAUAACAUUCUAAUUUUUAUUCCAGUCUUGGUUGGAAAUAGAAUCUCUGUAUUGAUUCAGGUAAAAACUGAACUUAACAGCAUGUUGGAGCAAAACAACCAGAUGAAAACUGUGAUGGUGUUGGAUUGUCAGACCGUAAUGUUGCAGCUCAAAGCAGCUUUUCUAGCUCAGUUCAUUCUGACAUUCAGCUAUGAAUCAACACAGCAGAUGGUGAUCCAUGCUGUGGAAGUCUCACAUCUCCUGAUUUAAUGGAGCUGCUUUGCACUUUUUACACUGUUUAUUCACCAACACUUUAUUUAAUAAAAGUCCCAUCUAGUUUUUAUGAGGAAUGUGAUGUUUUAAUUUCUCUGUGAAUAACUGCAGUCUAAUGCAACAGCUGGAAUUGUAACAUCUGUCCUGAUAUUGAUCAUGAAGUAUUGAUCAGAAUACUUAUGGUUAGCAGUCAUCCCUGAAGUUUUACAUUGAAAUCUUUACUUGUGUUGUGAACUUUGGUAAGAAGCAGAAACGUUAGCGUUGCCAUGGAUACAGGAGUGUUAAAUUCUGUCCAUGUUUCCAUUUUGGGAAAUUCAGUCCAGUUCCAGAAUGUGGAGGAAUUUAGUCUCAUAAUCACAGACAACAAAUAUUAUCUGAAAGUCGAGUUAUUGUUGUUUAUCAGCACAAUACAAAAAGAUUAAUGUUAGAAAUAUUCCAGUUAAGACUCUAGAAUAUCAUGAUUUAUGUAAAAUUUACCUCAAUAAUAUGAAUGUUCAGGUUAAGAUUGUACAGUGAUAUUUAUUAUGUAAGUUUAGCUGAUUAAAGUUUGACUCUGCACUAAAAUAUCAUUUAAAUUUACAUCAUUAUUAUAAUAUUUAGGGUCAGACCCUACAGUAUUGAGAUUAAGAAAUUAAAUAUUCUACAAAAUGUAAAUACACUGAACUCAUUUGGAUAUAUUUAAGUGAGACUUUACAAUAUUAUUUGACACAAAUCUAUCUAAAUCAAAAUUUUAAUAAUUUUUACUCCAACCUUUUACUGGACUGAUUUAAAUAUUAAAAUCACGCCUUUCUAAUCCUCUGCUGUACGUUCAAACCUGAGGCCUUAAAUAGAAACACACAAGUAUCUGUUUGAAGGAACUUCUGCAGAGUCCUGGUUCCAGAACAUGAUGAUAGAAUUAUAGACAAACUUUAACAAAAGCUGCCUGAGAGUUUACAGGUUUUUAUGUUAAAUUUCUUCAGUAAUUUAAUGAGCGUUAUCAGCAAUAAUCAAGGGUUCAUUUGAUGAACUUCAUUUCCUAAAACAUCCGGAAUUGGAGCUCAUAUCUUUGUCAGCUGUAAAGUUUCUGCUCCUUCAAAGUUCACAACACAAUGAAUGAAUUCCUAAAACACUCUCAAUGCUGGAGAACGUUUGUGAUGCUGAAGCAGUGAUCAGUUUUUCUGUUUCUUCUCUGGAGAUGCACAAUGAGGGACGUCUGCAGAGACUGAGAAAGAGUCUCACCACAUCCUGACAUGAGGAAAAAGACUUUAUUGAAGACUACAAUGAGAAAAACUAUCAGACAGCAGACGGCUGCAUUCAAGUCUGUAGCUGCUGAAUUCAUGGAUGAAUCAUCUGGCACUAGAGAAGAAGACCAUCAAACAUCCACGUCAGCUGAUGGAGGUCCAAGAGUCUCACCAAACAAACAACCUACAGAGUGAAGACCUCAAAUCUGAUUGGAUGGCCUCCUAUUCAGCCACAUGUGUGAACAAAUGCCUCUAAGCUGAUUUAUUUUCUAAAAUAAAUCUAGUUUGAGUCCUAAUCUAUGCCUGUGUGUUUGCUUCUUUACACUGCUGUUAACAGUUUAGGCUGUUAGAUUGUUCCAGAUAAGACAAGUACAAGAUACUUCAGAGCCGUUCUACCACGAGCCUGACAGGAAGAACUCCAACAGCUACUGAAUGUUCCUGUGGUCCCUUCAAGGCUACAGGAGGAGCCCUAUGAGGACGAGCCGGUCCACCUGAUGGAGGCCAGUCGCUGUGGUUCAAAGCCAACACCAACUACGUGGACUUCUACUGGACCACAUGGAGGCCUUCAAACCGGACCAACAAGUUCAGCGACUCCCCGACUCGUGGGUCUGAGGACGCCGCCGAGCCUCGGUCCAGCCGGCCGCCUGUCUGUGGGUGUUUGAGUGCUGAGAGGUUUGUGGAUGCAUGUGAACGUAUCUGUGUUGAAACAGCAGCUUUUGACUCAGUAACACCAGGAAAAACCAAGAG